This 465-nucleotide ribosomal RNA is filed under the name Vreelandella stevensii. Its description in RNAcentral is "partial 16S ribosomal RNA". It matches the Rfam family "Bacterial small subunit ribosomal RNA", at positions 338 to 795 of the family's 1533-position model. The record is from RNAcentral. Lineage: Bacteria; Pseudomonadati; Pseudomonadota; Gammaproteobacteria; Oceanospirillales; Halomonadaceae.
CCUACGGGCGGCAGCAGUGGGGAAUAUUGGACAAUGGGCGAAAGCCUGAUCCAGCCAUGCCGCGUGUGUGAAGAAGGCCUUCGGGUUGUAAAGCACUUUCAGUGGGGAAGAAAGCCUUGGGGCUAAUACCCUCGAGGAAGGACAUCACCCACAGAAGAAGCACCGGCUAACUCCGUGCCAGCAGCCGCGGUAAUACGGAGGGUGCGAGCGUUAAUCGGAAUUACUGGGCGUAAAGCGCGCGUAGGCGGUCUGAUAAGCCGGUUGUGAAAGCCCCGGGCUCAACCUGGGAACGGCAUCCGGAACUGUCAGGCUAGAGUGCAGGAGAGGAAGGUAGAAUUCCCGGUGUAGCGGUAAAAUGCGUAGAGAUCGGGAGGAAUACCAGUGGCGAAGGCGGUCUUCUGGACUGACACUGACGCUGAGGUGCGAAAGCGUGGGUAGCAAACAGGAUUAGAUACCCCUGUAGUC